CGAAGUGGGUGACUCUAGGCAUUCACUCGUUUCUCAUGCCGACCCUGUUAAGCACCCUCCCACCAGAACAUCUUCAGUUAAAAAUCGGAGCAGAGGAUCUGGUCUCCUAGUUCUGUCAUUUACGUGGGAGGACUCCAGGGAAAGUCCGACCUGUUCCUGCUGGAGGACUUCGGGUUCCGGAGCGUUCCCUCUACGGCCCUUCCCAGGCAGCUGACAGCCCAAGUCGGAAAGCUGUUGGAAGCUGUUGGCCCCWUGCGCUUCCGGGGCCUGUGGGGAGGGGCAAUGGCCUGAGUCCCGCCCCCUUCAGGGGCGGAGCCACGGAUAGGGACUGGCCUAAGCUGCCGCAGGUAAAGUAGUCCUGAAACGGGGAAUCUCUGGGCCUGGGGA
Molecule: non-coding RNA, 387 nt
Organism: Urocitellus parryii (Arctic ground squirrel)
Lineage: Eukaryota; Metazoa; Chordata; Mammalia; Rodentia; Sciuridae
Source: RefSeq, a predicted model, not a curated record